Molecule: long non-coding RNA, 1114 nt
Filed under: Anas platyrhynchos platyrhynchos (common mallard)
Lineage: Eukaryota; Metazoa; Chordata; Aves; Anseriformes; Anatidae
Description: lncRNA (ENSAPLG00000025794.1)
Source: RNAcentral
GCAAGAGUUGCCUAAUCCAUCUCUCCGCUGUAGCUCUGUCUGCAUGAAUAAUGAUAUUCUAUUUCGAAUAACAGACAAGCAGGAGAAUGAGAUAGUUGCCAGAGGUAAACCAGAAAAGUAUUGGGUGAUUUUACCUCAUAUAACAAAAGCAAGAGACAGACCAAAAUCAGGUAAGUACAAUCUUGCAAACAUACAUUGGUUGUCAUCAAUUUAUUAAAAAAAAAAAUCAAUACCUUGACUUUACUGAGGCAACAGAGACAUUAGUUUUAUGUAUAUGUGUAGUCCAUAGAUGUAAAUUAAAAGUUUAUAUCUUCAGCUUUAAUUUAUACCUGUACGACUUAAAUUCUUAUGUACACAAAAUACUCAUGAAAUGUUUGGGGUAAUCAAAUUUCUUGACAAGGAAUUCUCAAAAACUUUUGAAUUACAAGUAUUGGCAUCCAUUAAUUCAGAUACCUUUGAGGAAAAAACAGCCUAGUGAGUGUAAAACAAAUCAUAAACCUAACAAAAUAGUCUGCUGAAAUAACAGCAAAUUACUACUUUUUUUUUUUUUUUUUUUUUUUUUUUGAGUAGCUGCUUUUCUGGUACCUGCAUUUCCUUUCAUGUUAGAAAUUAGCAUUUUGGCUAAGGUCAGUAUCCAAAGAUGUUAGCAUCAUCACAGGCAGCAUCAAAUCCACUGAAGGAGUCUGUCACAGUUCCUCUCAAAGUGUAAGUCCAACUGCUUAAAAGUAAUACAUCUCUGAAAAUAUUAUUUAUUGUUAGAUUUACUAAAGAGGGGACCUAUAACAUACUAUGGGUUGCUAAGACUCACAAUGUUGCUUCUGCAACAGGUGAUUUAUAUUCCCAUGGAACUCAAAUGCACUUGGAGAUCAUAUGGAGAGCAUCUGAGAUCAGCUGGGAAUCAUUAGGUACCUUGCAAGAUUAGACCCAUGUGAGGUUGUCCCUAGAAUUAACUUUUUUGCUCAUCACUAACCAGUUCUACCUCCUCUUUUUUCUUAAUCACUUUAUUUGUUUCAAGGGGACUGAUAAGACCCUUAAGGAAGUCCCAUAAUGAUACUAAUUAAUUAAUAAUUGGUAGCAAUUUGGGUGUGUUGGAAGAGCUGACCUCGGAUAAUUC